AACGAACGCUGGCGGCAGGCCUAACGCAUGCAAGUCGAACGAAGUCUUCGGACUUAGUGGCGCACGGGUGCGUAACGCGUGGGAAUCUACCCUUAGGUGCGGAAUAACAGUUAGAAAUGACUGCUAAUACCGCAUAAUGACUCCGGUCCAAAGAUUUAUCGCCUAAGGAUGAGCCCGCGUAAGAUUAGCUAGUUGGUGAGGUAAAAGCUCACCAAGGCGACGAUCUUUAGCUGGUCUGAGAGGAUGAUCAGCCACACUGGGACUGAGACACGGCCCAG
This 278-nucleotide ribosomal RNA is filed under the name uncultured bacterium. Its description in RNAcentral is "partial 16S ribosomal RNA". It matches the Rfam family "Bacterial small subunit ribosomal RNA", at positions 29 to 334 of the family's 1533-position model. The record is from RNAcentral.